CAGCACCUCAAGUGGUCAGGAUGAUUAUUGGGCCUAAAGCAUCCGUAGCCUGCUUUGUUAGUUUUCGGUUAAAUCCAUAUGCUCAACGUAUGGGCUGCCGGGAAUACUGCAAAGCUAGGGAGUGGGAGAGGUAGACGGUACUCGGUAGGAAGGGGUAAAAUCCUUUGAUCUAUUGAUGACCACCUGUGGCGAAGGCGGUCUACCAGAACACGUCCGACGGUGAGGGAUGAAAGCUGGGGGAGCAAACCGGAUUAGAGACCCGAGUAGUCC
Molecule: ribosomal RNA, 270 nt
Filed under: uncultured archaeon
Lineage: Archaea
Description: partial 16S ribosomal RNA
Rfam family: Archaeal small subunit ribosomal RNA
Source: RNAcentral